CUCUCUUAUUCUUCUUCUUUUCCUCCCCUUCCAGAUACAGGUGGACACAGCUGCAGAGGAGCAAGGCAAGUCUACAGCCAUGGACAAGCAAGGCAGUAGGCUUCAGCAGCAAGGGAUUGCUCUGUGCUUCCAGAGUGGGAAAAGCCUGACACAAAUACAGAGAGCACCUGAAAGUGCUCUUAUGCAGUACUUGUUAUUUCAKAACGCCCCUUCCUGCACUACAACGAAGUAUACAACAUACUGUGAAAUUCUGCACCAGAAAGCUGGAAAGGAUGCGUAACAUUUCCCAGUCUACAGAAGCCUGAUGAAGAUUGAUCUGGGUGAUUGGUAAUAAACACUUUUUAUAGCACUGCA
Molecule: long non-coding RNA, 354 nt
Organism: Dromaius novaehollandiae (emu)
Lineage: Eukaryota; Metazoa; Chordata; Aves; Casuariiformes; Dromaiidae
Source: Ensembl